GACGAACGCUGGCGGCAUGCCUAACACAUGCAAGUCGAACGGAGAUUAUUUCGGUAAUCUUAGUGGCGAACGGGUAAGUAACGCGUGGGCAACCUGCCCUCUAGAUGGGGACAACAUCCCGAAAGGGGUGCUAAUACCGAAUGUGACAGCAAUCUCGCAUGAGGAUGCUGUGAAAGAUGGCCUCUAUUUAUAAGCUAUCGCUAGAGGAUGGGCCUGCGUCUGAUUAGCUAGUUGGUGGGGUAACGGCCUACCAAGGCGAUGAUCAGUAGCCGGUCUGAGAGGAUGAACGGCCACAUUGGGACUGAGACACGGCCCAGACUCCUACGGGAGGCAGCAGUGGGGAAUCUUCCGCAAUGGGCGAAAGCCUGACGGAGCAAUGCCGCGGGAGUGAUGAAGGAAUUCGUUCCGUAAAGCUCUUUUGUUUAUGACGAAUGUGCAGAUUGUGAACAAUGAUCUGUAAUGACGGUAGUAAACGAAUAAGCCACGGCUAACUACGUG
Molecule: ribosomal RNA, 498 nt
Filed under: uncultured bacterium
Lineage: Bacteria
Description: partial 16S ribosomal RNA
Rfam family: Bacterial small subunit ribosomal RNA
Source: RNAcentral